Molecule: small RNA, 215 nt
Organism: Pseudomonas aeruginosa PAO1
Lineage: Bacteria; Pseudomonadati; Pseudomonadota; Gammaproteobacteria; Pseudomonadales; Pseudomonadaceae
Rfam family: Pseudomonas sRNA P4
Source: Rfam
GAAGAAUCUCCUUUCAUCGUGGUGUUGGUACGUUGAGGAAGUCGUCUUGCAUGAGGCGGCGCCGUGCUUGCCGGGCUUUGCAUCCCUAGCCGGUCGAAGGGGCCGCUGGGGAUAAAACUCGCAAGUUCCGGUGACAGAUCGGGGAAAAAAUCUCGGGAGCAUCGAAUUGUUUUCGCAGCCUUUCCUCGGGUGUUCGCAGGCUCUGCGCCGGGCCU